RNAcentral lists this ribosomal RNA (797 nucleotides) under uncultured bacterium. RNAcentral describes it as "bacterial SSU rRNA". It matches the Rfam family "Bacterial small subunit ribosomal RNA", at positions 8 to 796 of the family's 1533-position model. The record is from RNAcentral.
AGAGUUUGAUCAUGGCUCAGAUUGAACGCUGGCGGAAUGCUUUACACAUGCAAGUCGAACGGCAGCACGGGAGCUUGCUCCUGGUGGCGAGUGGCGAACGGGUGAGUAAUGCGUCGGAACGUACCGAGUAAUGGGGGAUAACGCAGCGAAAGCUGUGCUAAUACCGCAUACGCCCUGAGGGGGAAAGUGGGGGAUCGCAAGACCUCACGUUAUUCGAGCGGCCGACGUCUGAUUAGCUAGUUGGUGGGGUAAAGGCCUACCAAGGCGACGAUCAGUAGCGGGUCUGAGAGGAUGAUCCGCCACACUGGAACUGAGACACGGUCCAGACUCCUACGGGAGGCAGCAGUGGGGAAUUUUGGACAAUGGGGGCAACCCUGAUCCAGCCAUUCCGCGUGAGUGAAGAAGGCCUUCGGGUUGUAAAGCUCUUUCAGCUGGAACGAAACGGUACAUCCUAAUACGGUGUGCUAAUGACGGUACCAGCAGAAGAAGCACCGGCUAACUACGUGCCAGCAGCCGCGGUAAUACGUAGGGUGCGAGCGUUAAUCGGAAUUACUGGGCGUAAAGCGUGCGCAGGCGGGAUUGUUAAGCAAGAUGUGAAAUCCCCCGGGCUUAACCUGGGAAUGGCAUUUUGAACUGGCAGUCUAGAGUGUGUCAGAGGGGGGUGGAAUUCCACGUGUAGCGGUGAAAUGCGUAGAGAUGUGGAGGAACACCAAUGGCGAAGGCAGCCCCCUGGGAUAACACUGACGCUCAUGUACGAAAGCGUGGGUAGCAAACAGGAUUAGAUACCCUAGUAGUCC